GACAGAGGUUGCAAACGUUGUUCGGAUUUACUGGGCAUAAAGCGCACGUAGGCGGUCCGUUAAGUCAUGUGUGAAAUCCCCCGGCUCAACCGGGGAAGUGCGCCUGAUACUGGCGGGCUAGAGGUCGAUAGGGGUAAGCGGAACUCCAGGUGGAGCGGUGAAAUGCGUAGAUAUCUGGAGGAACACCGGUGGCGAAAGCGACUCACUGGCUCGAAACUGACGCUGAGGUGCGAAAGCUAGGGUAGCAAACGGG
RNAcentral lists this ribosomal RNA (253 nucleotides) under uncultured bacterium. RNAcentral describes it as "partial 16S ribosomal RNA". It matches the Rfam family "Bacterial small subunit ribosomal RNA", at positions 524 to 776 of the family's 1533-position model. The record is from RNAcentral.